Molecule: ribosomal RNA, 465 nt
Filed under: uncultured bacterium
Lineage: Bacteria
Description: partial 16S ribosomal RNA
Rfam family: Bacterial small subunit ribosomal RNA
Source: RNAcentral
GAUGAACGCUGGCGGCGUGCUUAACACAUGCAAGUCGAACGAUGAAGCCCAGCUUGCUGGGUGGAUUAGUGGCGAACGGGUGAGUAACACGUGAGUAACCUGCCCUUAACUCUGGGAUAAGCCUGGGAAACUGGGUCUAAUACCGGAUAGGAGCGUCCACCGCAUGGUGGGUGUUGGAAAGAUUUAUCGGUUUUGGAUGGACUCGCGGCCUAUCAGCUUGUUGGUGAGGUAAUGGCUCACCAAGGCGACGACGGGUAGCCGGCCUGAGAGGGUGACCGGCCACACUGGGACUGAGACACGGCCCAGACUCCUACGGGAGGCAGCAGUGGGGAAUAUUGCACAAUGGGCGCAAGCCUGAUGCAGCGACGCCGCGUGAGGGAUGACGGCCUUCGGGUUGUAAACCUCUUUCAGUAGGGAAGAAGCGAAAGUGACGGUACCUGCAGGAGAAGCACCGGCUAACUACGU